GACGGAGGAUGCAAGUGUUAUCCGGAAUCACUGGGCGUAAAGCGUCUGUAGGUGGUUUAGAAAGUCUGCUGUUAAAGCUUGAAGCUUAACUUCAAAAAUGCAGUGGAAACUUCUAGACUCGAGUGUGGUAGGGGUAGAGGGAAUUUCCAGUGGAGCGGUGAAAUUCGUAGAUAUUCGGAAGAACACCAGUGGCGAAGGCGACUUACUGGACACAUAUUGACGCUGAGGUGCGAAAGCGUGGGGAGCAAACAGG
Molecule: ribosomal RNA, 253 nt
Filed under: uncultured bacterium
Lineage: Bacteria
Description: partial 16S ribosomal RNA
Rfam family: Bacterial small subunit ribosomal RNA
Source: RNAcentral